This 468-nucleotide ribosomal RNA is filed under the name uncultured bacterium. RNAcentral's name for it is "partial 16S ribosomal RNA". It matches the Rfam family "Bacterial small subunit ribosomal RNA", at positions 28 to 507 of the family's 1533-position model. The record is from RNAcentral.
GACGAACGCUGGCGGCGUGCUUAACACAUGCAAGUCGAACGGAAAGGCCCUGCUUUUGUGGGGUGCUCGAUUGGCGAACGGGUGAGUAACACGUGAGUAACCUGCCCUUGACUUUGGGAUAACUUCAGGAAACUGGGGCUAAUACCGGAUAGGAGCUCCUGCUGCAUGGUGGGGGUUGGAAAGUUUCGGCGGUUGGGGAUGGACUCGCGGGUUAUCAGCUUGUUGGUUGGGUAGUGGCUUACCAAGGCUUUGACGGGUAGCCUGCCUGAGAGGGUGACCGGCCACAAUGGGACUGAGAGACGGACCAGAAUACAACGGGAGGCAGCAGGGGGGAAUAUUGCAAAAUGGGCGGAAGCCUGAUGCAGCAACGCCGCGUGCGGGAUGACGGCCGUCGGGUUGUAAACCGCUUUCGCCUGUGACGAAGCGGGAGUGACGGUAAUGGGUAAAGAAGCACCGGCUAACUACGUG